Molecule: non-coding RNA, 46 nt
Filed under: Trypanosoma brucei brucei
Lineage: Eukaryota; Euglenozoa; Kinetoplastea; Trypanosomatida; Trypanosomatidae
Source: RNAcentral
AUAUAUACAAUACUGAGAUACGACGUGAUAAGAUAUAGAAGUUAAU